GAUUUCUGGUUGGACUUGCCUGGCCCGCCACAGUUUUGUGUGUGAGUGCCGGUGUGUGUCUGCCAUCCUUCGCGUUCCGGUCGGUGCCUCUUCAGUGAGGUGCAGGAUACAGGACGCGAUCGUUUACUUUGAAAAAAUUAGAGUGUUUCAAGCAGGCUUGUUGCUAUGAAUACAUUAGCAUGGAAUAAUGAUUUAGGACUUCGGUUCUAUUUUGUUGGUUUCUAGUACUGAAGUAAUGAUUGAUAGGGAUAGUUGGGGGUGCUAGUAUUCAGUGGCCAGAGGUGAAAUUCUCGGAUUCCCUGAAGACUAACUUAUGCGAAAGCAUU
Molecule: ribosomal RNA, 326 nt
Filed under: uncultured Dujardina
Lineage: Eukaryota; Cercozoa; Glissomonadida
Description: SSU rRNA
Rfam family: Eukaryotic small subunit ribosomal RNA (bases 118-326)
Source: RNAcentral